AUUUUUUUCAAUGAAAAUUACAUUAUUAAGAUUGUAUAAUAUUAAAUUAAUCUAUAUAUUAAAUAUAAUUGAUCAAAUUUUAUUACAAUUAUCGCAAAUAGAAUUAAAAUGAAUAAUAAUGGUUGGUAAAAAGAUAUAAACACUCACUUGUUUGAACACGAAAAUAAACAAAGCAAAUCUCAUAAGUAUAAAUGAGAAUCAUUUUGUGAAAAUACUAGAAGCCAAAUUUGAAAGAUACAACAGUAUUUAAAAAAAAAAUGUUUAAAGUAAAGGAUUUUGACUGUUCUAAAAAAACAGUUUUGCAAAAUAGAAAUGUGACAU
Long non-coding RNA from Daktulosphaira vitifoliae (grape phylloxera), 321 nucleotides. RefSeq lists it as uncharacterized. The record is from RefSeq and is a predicted model, not a curated record. The transcript has 3 exons. Lineage: Eukaryota; Metazoa; Arthropoda; Insecta; Hemiptera; Phylloxeridae.